GCGUCAUGCCUCAUGGAAAGAUGCUCCCCCAUGUCUUUUCCCUGGAGCUUCCCGCUGUGAGAGCUCAUCUCCAGCAGAAGAUCUCCCGCCCUGAACAGCUCGUGUCAACAGCAUCUGGGGGAAAGAGCCGAGCCAAAUUGUCUGUAGAGUCUUGUUUGUGUUUGGAGACUCUGCUCCUGGAAGCCAAGGAGAUGUUGAUGUACAAGACUGUCAUAAUAACGACGGGCAGAUAGAAGGCCGCUAUAGCCGUCCCAAAGGUCACUGCGGGGUUAGAAAGGAACUGGAAGAGGAAACAGAGAAAAGAAAAAAUUUAUCUGUUCACACUCAGAGGACAAACCCAGAAGAUCACACAGGAUUACACAACACAGUGUGUUAGCCUCACAGUUUGACUGGAUCACAGGAGUCAGCAUAUAGAGAGAAGCGGUCUAGGAUUGAGCUGGCAGCCCUACCGUUGACUGGUGAAAACUGAUCCCAUCUCAUUAAACGGGUGAGCUGCCUCCGUCAGUCUCAGCGCCGGGUUAAGGUCAGUAAGUGUGUUUUUGCAAGAGGAAAAAGGUGAGACGUCACCUCUGUCAUAAACGUUCACACCACAGUGUCUAAUUUGUCAGUGACAGCUGGGUUACUCUGCGACUACAGCAGUUUGUGUGAGCCUGCUGGUCAGCCGCUGAGAAUAAAGAUGGACGGAAACCAGAAACAAUGCAGCAUUCGUUAAAAGUCCUGAACUUUUAACCAAUACCAGCUCAGACCCCUUAAUACAAACAUGACAUAGAAAACUGUGUUUUCUCAGGGUUGGUAACAAACUUAAGCUUUUGUACCGAACGAUUUCUUUUCAGUUUCCUUUAAGAAACACUGCAUUUUUUUUUUCUUAACAGGGUAUUAAAGGUGACAUUGCACGCUUUCCUAAAUUCCCCUGGUGGGGUUGAUGGGCACCUGACAAUAUCACAGUGGGCCCACUUUUGAGAGUUAUCUAAUCCUGAUUCACAGACUGAGAAAAACCGCCUCAACUCAACCUGGGCCUGAACGCCCCGCGGAUUUGGUCACCAUGUUUUUCUUCCUAAUACCUUUGGGUUUAUCAUCUUGAUUUUGAAAAGUUCCUGCAGAGUUUCGUUUAAUUUUACUCUGAGGCAAGUAGUUUGGAGUUCAAUUCCCAAUUUGUGACCUUUGGGAAAUGCCACCCUUUCAUGCUGUCUCUGAUUACUGUGAACAAAGAAAAUUUUUAAACUU
Xiphophorus couchianus (Monterrey platyfish) is the source of this 1224-nucleotide long non-coding RNA. RefSeq lists it as uncharacterized. Lineage: Eukaryota; Metazoa; Chordata; Actinopteri; Cyprinodontiformes; Poeciliidae. The record is from RefSeq and is a predicted model, not a curated record. The transcript is spliced from 3 exons.